AUUACUAUAUACUUUUAUCCCCCAGUUAAUUUUAAACAUUUCUGCAUUAUUUAUUUAUCUUGAAUUUUCCUUGAGAUCAAUAAAGUAUCUAUCUAUCUAUCUAUCUUUAAUCAGCCCAUUGGUGAAACAAUCAGGCUCCAUACUCCCAGCUCGUCCUCUGGUCGCAGCUUGUCCGCUGUGAGGAACUGGAACUGAUUCAUCUGUCACUAAGUGAUGUGGAUGAGCCAUACAAAGACCUGCCAACACAAUAUAGACCCUUUUAAAUAAUCAUAGCAAAGACGCCACACCUUACCGCAGGUGGAGGAGGGCAGCAUCUACGGGCAUCUACUGUCUGUCUGGAGCGAAUGGCGAAGGCUCACGGCUCCCAGUGUGGCUUCUGCGCCCCAGGGAUGGUGACGUCCAUGUUCACUCUGCUGAGGAACAAACCUCAGCCCACCAUGGAGGACAUCAGGGAAGCUCUGGGAGGCAGACAGUACACACAUAUUUACAUGUAUAAAAUAA
Long non-coding RNA from Scatophagus argus, 501 nucleotides. RefSeq lists it as uncharacterized. The transcript has 3 exons. The record is from RefSeq and is a predicted model, not a curated record. Lineage: Eukaryota; Metazoa; Chordata; Actinopteri; Scatophagidae.